UACAGAGGUCUCAAGCGUUGUUCGGAUUUACUGGGCGUAAAGCGUCCGUAGGUGGUUUGUUAAGUCAGGGGUGAAAUCCCGGGGCCCAACCCCGGAACUGCCUUUGAUACUGGCAAGCUGGAGCGUGAUAGAGGAAGAUGGAAUAUCUGGUGUAGGGGUGAAAUCCGUAGAUAUCAGAUGGAACACCAAUGGCGAAGGCAGUCUUCUGGAUCAUUGCUGACACUGAGGGACGAAAGCGUGGGUAGCAAACAGA
RNAcentral lists this ribosomal RNA (253 nucleotides) under uncultured Alphaproteobacteria bacterium. RNAcentral's name for it is "partial 16S ribosomal RNA". It matches the Rfam family "Bacterial small subunit ribosomal RNA", at positions 524 to 776 of the family's 1533-position model. The record is from RNAcentral. Lineage: Bacteria; Pseudomonadati; Pseudomonadota; Alphaproteobacteria.